GACGAACGCUGGCGGCGUGCCUAAUACAUGCAAGUCGAACGGAGCGGCGGACGGGUGAGUAAUGCCUAUGAAUCUGCCUGGUAGUGGGGGAUAACGUCCGGAAACGGGCGCUAAUACCGCAUACUAGCAGAUGAGCCUAGGUCGGAUUAGAUAGUUGGUGGGGUAAAGGCCUACCAAGGCGACGAUCCGUAACUGGUCUGAGAGGAGGAUCAGUCACACUGGAACUGAGACACGGUCCAGACUCCUACGGGAGGCAGCAGUGGGGAAUAUUGGACAAUGGGCGAAAGCCUGAUCCAGCCAUGCCGCGUGUAUGAAGAAGGCCCUAGGGUUGUAAAGUACUUUCAGUCGGGAGGCGUUACCGACAGAAGAAGCACCGGCUAACUCCGUGCCAGCCGCCGCGGUAAUUC
RNAcentral lists this ribosomal RNA (407 nucleotides) under uncultured bacterium. RNAcentral's name for it is "partial 16S ribosomal RNA". It matches the Rfam family "Bacterial small subunit ribosomal RNA", at positions 28 to 526 of the family's 1533-position model. The record is from RNAcentral.